Molecule: ribosomal RNA, 492 nt
Filed under: uncultured bacterium
Lineage: Bacteria
Description: partial 16S ribosomal RNA
Rfam family: Bacterial small subunit ribosomal RNA
Source: RNAcentral
GACGAACGCUGGCGGCGUGCUUGACACAUGCAAGUCGAACGGAAAGGCCUGCUUUCCCUUGUGGAUUGCGGGUACUCGAGUGGCGAACGGGUGAGUAACACGUGAGUGAUCUGCCCCCAACUUGGGUAUAAGCCUGGGAAACUGGGUCUAAUUCCCGAUAGGACUGCAGGGUGGUGCCUGUGGUGGAAAACGAUUUUCUAGUGGUUGGGGAUGAGCUCGCGGCCUAUCAGCUUGUUGGUGGGGUAAUGGCCUACCAAGGCGGCGACGGGUAGCCGGCCUGAGAGGGUGGACGGCCACAUUGGGACUGGGAUACGGCCCAGACUCCUACGGGAGGCAGCAGUGGGGAAUAUUGCACAAUGGGCGGAAGCCUGAUGCAGCGACGCCGCGUGGGGGAUGACGGCCUUCGGGUUGUAAACUCCUUUCGACCGCGAGGAAGCCACCUGGUUGGAAGGGUGGUGACGGUAGUGGUAGAAGAAGCACCGGCUAACUACG